Non-coding RNA from Armillaria luteobubalina, 95 nucleotides. The record is from the annotation of a GenBank genome assembly. NCBI's taxonomy places the organism in Eukaryota, Fungi, Basidiomycota, Agaricomycetes, Agaricales, Physalacriaceae.
GCAUCAAUGGGGUAGUGGUAACCUGGGUCGUUGCCAUCAGACUGAAAGAUGAGUUUGUCGACCCGCCGGGGGUUCGAUUCCUCCCUCUUGAUGCA